AAUUGGUACACUCGCAAUGCGACAAGAUGAACCCCGCCAGGUCUGGAAAGAAGCAACGGUAAUUUUGAAUACAUGUGCCGGGUUGUGGCUAUUUAGG
This 97-nucleotide signal recognition particle RNA is filed under the name Gammaproteobacteria bacterium. RNAcentral describes it as "signal recognition particle sRNA small type". It matches the Rfam family "Bacterial small signal recognition particle RNA". Rfam says of the family: The signal recognition particle (SRP) is a universally conserved ribonucleoprotein involved in the co-translational targeting of proteins to membranes. The record is from RNAcentral. Lineage: Bacteria; Pseudomonadati; Pseudomonadota; Gammaproteobacteria.